AUACGUAGGUGACAAGCGUUAUCCGGAUUUACUGGGCGUAAAGGGCGUGUAGGCGGUCUUGCAAGUCAGAAGUGAAAUUCCCGGGCUUAACUUGGGCGCUGCUUCUGAAACUGCUUUACUUGAGUGCUGGAGAGGAUAGGGGAAUUCCUAGUGUAGCGGUAAAAUGCGCAGAUAUUAGGAGGAACACCGGUGGCGAAGGCGGCUAUCUGGACAGUAACUGACGCUGAGGCGCGAAAGCACGGGGAGCAAACAGGAUUAGAUACCCUGGUAGUCCGUGCCGUAAACGAUGAAUACUAGGUGUAGGGGGUAUCGACUCCCUCUGUGCCGCAGUUAACACAUUAAGUAUUCCACCUGGGGAGUACGGCCGCAAGGUUGAAACUCAAAUGAAUUGACGGGG
RNAcentral lists this ribosomal RNA (397 nucleotides) under uncultured bacterium. Its description in RNAcentral is "partial 16S ribosomal RNA". It matches the Rfam family "Bacterial small subunit ribosomal RNA", at positions 523 to 918 of the family's 1533-position model. The record is from RNAcentral.